UGGGGAAUAUUGCACAAUGGGCGCAAGCCUGAUGCAGCCAUGCCGCGUGUAUGAAGAAGGCCUUCGGGUUGUAAAGUACUUUCAGCGGGGAGGAAGGGAGUAAAGUUAAUACCUUUGCUCAUUGACGUUACCCGCAGAAGAAGCACCGGCUAACUCCGUGCCAGCAGCCGCGGUAAUACGGAGGGUGCAAGCGUUAAUCGGAAUUACUGGGCGUAAAGCGCACGCAGGCGGUUUGUUAAGUCAGAUGUGAAAUCCCCGGGCUCAACCUGGGAACUGCAUCUGAUACUGGCAAGCUUGAGUCUCGUAGAGGGGGGUAGAAUUCCAGGUGUAGCGGUGAAAUGCGUAGAGAUCUGGAGGAAUACCGGUGGCGAAUGCGGCCCCCUGGACGAAGACUGACGCUCAGGUGCGAAAGCGUGGGGAGCAAACAGG
Molecule: ribosomal RNA, 429 nt
Filed under: Chloroflexota bacterium
Lineage: Bacteria; Bacillati; Chloroflexota
Description: Chloroflexi bacterium partial 16S ribosomal RNA
Rfam family: Bacterial small subunit ribosomal RNA
Source: RNAcentral